UACAGAGGAGCCAAGCGUUGUCCGGAUUGACUGGGCGUAAAGCGCACGCAGGCGGUGGUGCGCGUGGGGUGUGAAAUCUGGCCGCUUAACGGCCAGGCGCCAUCCCAUACGGCACGACUGGAGGGCUGCAGAGGUCGAUGGAAUUGCCGGUGUAGUGGUGAAAUGCGUAGAGAUCGGCAGGAACACCCAGGGGGAAACCAGUCGACUGGGCAUCUACUGACGCUGAGGUGCGAGAGCGUGGGGAGCGACCGG
Molecule: ribosomal RNA, 252 nt
Filed under: uncultured bacterium
Lineage: Bacteria
Description: partial 16S ribosomal RNA
Rfam family: Bacterial small subunit ribosomal RNA
Source: RNAcentral